GGUACACCUAGUUACAUUCCGAACCUAGAAGUUAAGCCCAUAUACGCUGAUGGUACUUGGCUGGAAGCGGCCUGGGAGAGUAUGGAUUUGCCAAGC
This 96-nucleotide ribosomal RNA is filed under the name Fusobacterium canifelinum. RNAcentral also lists the same sequence under 1 other name. The record is from RNAcentral. Lineage: Bacteria; Fusobacteriati; Fusobacteriota; Fusobacteriia; Fusobacteriales; Fusobacteriaceae.